RNAcentral lists this ribosomal RNA (253 nucleotides) under uncultured bacterium. RNAcentral's name for it is "partial 16S ribosomal RNA". It matches the Rfam family "Bacterial small subunit ribosomal RNA", at positions 524 to 776 of the family's 1533-position model. The record is from RNAcentral.
UACGUAGGGACCAAGCGUUGUUCGGAUUUACUGGGCGUAAAGGGCGCGUAGGCGGCUUGACAAGUCACUUGUGAAAUCUCCGGGCUUAACUCGGAACGGCCAAGUGAAACUGUCAUGCUAGAGUGCAGAAGGGGCAAUCGGAAUUCUUGGUGUAGCGGUGAAAUGCGUAGAUAUCAAGAGGAACACCUGAGGUGAAGACGGGUUGCUGGGCUGACACUGACGCUGAGGCGCGAAAGCGUGGGGAGCGAACAGG